UCUUUAAAAACAUACAAUAUAUUCAAAAAUAUUUUAAGAAAUAUGAAUUUCACAAAAAAUUUAACAUUGCCAUUUUUCCUUAUCAUGAUUCUUGUAGCAAAUAGUAAUGCGGAAACUAGUUUAGAAUGUGCACAAAAAUGUGCUGCCACAUGUCUCUAUUAUCCUGAUUGUGUGUCACGUUGUAUUGAUAAGGUUUGCCAUCCAACUCCUCCUUCUUCUAGAGCAUUGAUCAAUUGUAAACUUGCUUGUUCUGUGAAACGUUGUUCCAAAUUUAAACAAGAUAAGAAGUUAAUGAGCAGCUGCUGGGAUGAGUGUUCAACAAAACAUUGCACCUAGUUAGAACGGCAUAUACUAUUAUGCUAAUUGUUUAGCAAUAAUAAAUUAGAAAAUAAACUUGAUGAAUCAAAUGUAAUCAAGACUUAUGUUGUUUAUGAAGUACUAUUUUUCAAUUCUCCAUCUUUUGAUUUGCAACCUCCUAAUAAAAAGAAUUCAAGGAUCCAUUUGACUA
Molecule: long non-coding RNA, 508 nt
Organism: Capsicum annuum
Lineage: Eukaryota; Viridiplantae; Streptophyta; Magnoliopsida; Solanales; Solanaceae
Exons: 2
Source: RefSeq, a predicted model, not a curated record